UGUGUGUGUGUGAUGAACAUCCAGGUUGUACAUGUUUUCAUGUUAACCCGACAUGUGUGUGUUGCACGUGUGUGCUUUCAUCAUGGCGACCGUCGGCGCUGUCUCCGCCGCUGACGGACUGAGCGGACUCUUAGUGAACUGUACCAAACCUUUUGAAAUCAUCGCGCGCGACAUCGACGACCCUGGGGUUUAUGUACAAUGUCGCUUCUAUGUACCUCACGUGGAACAGUGUCCCAAGUACCAGGUUCUUAGCUUGAAACACAAGCGAUGCAUAUUCCCAGAUAGUCUUAUCAAGCCGUGCAAACCGCCCACUGUACAAGUACCUGCUGGACCGGAUUCCUGGAUCGGACGAGAGCCAGCAUAUUGACAGUACCGGAACCACACGUGGACCACGUCAUGUCCCUGUUGUUCCUGACUUUACACUUUUGUCUGUGUUGUUUGAAUGACAGUAAACAGUUUAUAUAAGCUGUAAAA
Molecule: long non-coding RNA, 474 nt
Organism: Haliotis rufescens (red abalone)
Lineage: Eukaryota; Metazoa; Mollusca; Gastropoda; Lepetellida; Haliotidae
Exons: 2
Source: RefSeq, a predicted model, not a curated record